RNAcentral lists this ribosomal RNA (253 nucleotides) under uncultured bacterium. Its description in RNAcentral is "partial 16S ribosomal RNA". It matches the Rfam family "Bacterial small subunit ribosomal RNA", at positions 524 to 776 of the family's 1533-position model. The record is from RNAcentral.
UACGUAGGUGGCAAGCGUUGUCCGGAAUUACUGGGCGUAAAGGGUGCGUAGGCGGAAGUUUAAGUAGAAAGUGAAAGGUUGGAGCUCAACUCCAACAUUGCUUCCUAUACUGGACAUCUUGAGUUUCGGAGAGGAAGAUGGAACGACACGUGUAGCGGUGAAAUGCGUUGAUAUGUGUCGGAACACCAAUAGCGAAGGCAAUCUUCUGGACGAACACUGACGCUGAGGCACGAAAGCAUGGGGAGCAAACAGG